RNAcentral lists this ribosomal RNA (1321 nucleotides) under metagenome. RNAcentral's name for it is "bacterial LSU rRNA". It matches the Rfam family "Bacterial large subunit ribosomal RNA", at positions 1564 to 2892 of the family's 2925-position model. The record is from RNAcentral.
CGAGUCCGAGGAGCUAAGGCUCCAAAGUGAUGCGAGUCAGACUUCCCAGAAAAGCCCGAACCACGUUAAUUUCUAAUUACCUGUACCCGAAACCGACACAGGUGGGUAGGUAGAGUAUACUAAGGGGCGCGAGAUAACUCUCUCUAAGGAACUCGGCAAAAUGACUCCGUAACUUCGGGAGAAGGAGUGCCUUAUUUAUAAGGUUGCAAUAACAAGAUCCAGGCAACUGUUUAUCAAAAACACAGGUCUCCGCUAAGUCGUAAGACGAUGUAUGGGGGCUGACGCCUGCCCAGUGCCAGAAGGUUAAAGAAGUUGGUUAGUGUAUGCGAAGCUGAUGACUGAAGCCCUGGUGAACGGCGGCCGUAACCAUAACGGUCCUAAGGUAGCGAAAUUCCUUGUCGGGUAAGUUCCGACCCGCACGAAAGGCGUAAUGAUUUGGAUACUGUCUCGGAGAGAGGCUCGGUGAAAUAGACUUGUCUGUGAAGAUGCGGACUACCUGCACCAGGACAGAAAGACCCUAUGAAGCUUUACUGUAACUUGAAAUUGGAAUUGGACUUUGCUUGCGCAGUAUAGGUGGGAAGCGUUGAAGAUAUUCUUGCGGGAGUAUUGGAGCUAUCAGUGAGAUACCACUCUUGUAAUGUUAGAUUUCUAACUUUGAACCAUAAUCUGGUCAAAGAACAGUUUCAGGUGGGCAGUUUGACUGGGGCGGUCGCCUCCCAAAUGGUAACGGAGGCGUACAAAGGUUUCCUCUGAACGGAUAGAAAUCGUAUCUAGAGUGUAAAGGCAUAAGGAAGCUUGACUGUGAGACCUACAAGUCGAGCAGGGACGAAAGUCGGUCUUAGUGAUCUGACGGUACUGAGUGGAGAGGCCGUCACUCAACGGAUAAAAGUUACUCUAGGGAUAACAGGCUGAUCUCCCCCGAGAGUUCACAUCGACGGGGAGGUUUGGCACCUCGAUGUCGGCUCAUCGCAUCCUGGGGCGGUAGUACGUCCCAAGGGUUGGGCUGUUCGCCCAUGAAAGCGGUACGCGAGCUGGGUUCAGAACGUCGUGAGACAGUUCGGUCCAUAUCCGGUGUAGGCGUUAGAAUAUUGAGAGGAGCCUUCUUUAGUACGAGAGGACCGAGAAGGACACACCGCUGGUGUACCAGUUAUCGUGCCAACGGUAAACGCUGGGUAGCUAUGUGUGGAGUGGAUAACCGCUGAAAGCAUCUAAGUGGGAAGCCCACCUCAAGAUGAGUGCUCUCACAGGGUUAACCUGGUAAGGUCACGGGAAGACCACCCGUUAAUAGGCACUAGGUGGAAGUCCAGUAAUGGAUGGAGCC